GGGGACCUUCGGGGCCCUACAACCAUCUCGGCACCAUCACGACGGGGCCGGGGACAAGCAAAACGGAAGACAGAGA
Non-coding RNA from Sulfitobacter sp. CB2047, 76 nucleotides. The record is from Rfam. NCBI's taxonomy places the organism in Bacteria, Pseudomonadati, Pseudomonadota, Alphaproteobacteria, Rhodobacterales, Roseobacteraceae.